This 904-nucleotide long non-coding RNA is filed under the name Equus asinus (donkey). RNAcentral describes it as "lncRNA (ENSEASG00005031293.1)". The record is from RNAcentral. Lineage: Eukaryota; Metazoa; Chordata; Mammalia; Perissodactyla; Equidae.
CUCGACCCUUGGCCCCGCCCACUCCUCCAACGCAGCCAAUGAGACGGCGCGUCCCGGCUAGUCCUGUCGUACCGCCCCUGGCAACGAUUGGUUAACGAGGUCUCGUUUCCAGAAAUGGGCACUACUUCCGGACGGUGUUUAUAGAGGAGAGAUUGCUGGGCGGACGGAUUGACAGAAGGCGGAGGCGGCCUGGGUGUCGGUGUAGCCGCACAUGCGCCCUCGGCUUCUGGCAGUCUUUUUACGGGUUGCGUUCUUCUGGAGGUUACGGGAAGGAAGGCCGAGUGUGCGCAUGCGUGGGCACUCCCCGGCCUCGAACUUCGGUUAUCUUGGGGACUACGAGGCGCUCUCUCUUGGGUCUGGUUCUGCUUCCUCUUUGCUUGAGGCUGUGGCAGCUAAAACCGGUGGGGGGCGGUUGGAAACACUUUUAUUGAGCACGUACUGUGUCCCUAGCGCUGUAGAGCCCCCAAGGACGAGUAAGACAGGUUCUGGUGCCUGCCCUCGAGAAGCUUGGGGAGCCAAGGGCCUACGCAGCACCUACCGUGCACCAGGCCAACUCUAGGCACUGGAGGUAGAGCAGUGACCGCAACGGACCCGGGCCUUGCAUCAUGGAGCUGCGGUUCUAUAGCAGAGAAGAGCUGUAGGAUAAAUCCCAAGACAUGGGUCACGCUUUCUUUCAAUCCUUCUAAUGAAGAAGAAAGUUUUACGUUGGUGAGAAAGUCUUCCUUUGGUGCCGGAGGGAGUUAAACAAUUCUGUGUUCCGGGCAUUGUGGAUUCAGACUGAAGGUUCAGAACGAAGAAGACCUGCCUCUACUCCCCUACUCUGGAGGGGGUCACAGUCCAUGGAGGAGACAGACAACAGGCCUGGCUUGACUACCCUGCUGCCCCAGGGCUGGAGCCCAGCUGG